This 253-nucleotide ribosomal RNA is filed under the name uncultured bacterium. RNAcentral describes it as "partial 16S ribosomal RNA". It matches the Rfam family "Bacterial small subunit ribosomal RNA", at positions 524 to 776 of the family's 1533-position model. The record is from RNAcentral.
UACGAAGGGAGCUAGCGUUGUUCGGAAUUACUGGGCGUAAAGGGCGCGUAGGCGGACAUCUAAGUCAGGGGUGAAAUCCCAGGGCUCAACCCUGGAAUUGCCUUUGAUACUGGACGUCUCGAGUUCGGGAGAGGUGAGUGGAAUUCCGAGUGUAGAGGUGAAAUUCGUAGAUAUUCGGAGGAACACCAAUUGCGAAGGCAGCUCGCUGGGACGUUACUGACGCUGAGACGCGAAAGCGUGGGGAGCAAACAGG